This 160-nucleotide ribosomal RNA is filed under the name Convolvulus oppositifolius. Its description in RNAcentral is "5.8S ribosomal RNA". It matches the Rfam family "5.8S ribosomal RNA". Rfam says of the family: 5.8S ribosomal RNA (5.8S rRNA) is a component of the large subunit of the eukaryotic ribosome. It is transcribed by RNA polymerase I as part of the 45S precursor that also contains 18S and 28S rRNA. The record is from RNAcentral. Lineage: Eukaryota; Viridiplantae; Streptophyta; Magnoliopsida; Solanales; Convolvulaceae. RNAcentral also lists the same sequence under 1 other name.
ACGACUCUCGGCAACGGAUAUCUCGGCUCUCGCAUCGAUGAAGAACGUAGCGAAAUGCGAUACUUGGUGUGAAUUGCAGAAUCCCGUGAACCAUCGAGUCUUUGAACGCAAGUUGCGCCCGAAGCUGUCAAGCUGAGGGCACGUCUGCCUGGGCGUCACA